GAAGGGAAUGAAGGUGAUAUGAAGUUAAUGGAGGGAAUGAAGGUGAUAUGAAGUUAAUGGAGGGAAUGAAGGUGAUAUGAAGUUAAUGAAGGGAAUGAAGGUGAUAUGAAGUUAAUGGAGGGAAUGAAGGUGAUAUGAAGUUAAUGAAGGGAAUGAAGGUGAUAUGAAGUUAAUGAAGGGAAUGAAGGUGAUAUGAAGUUAAUGGAGGGAAUGAAGGUGAUAUGAAGUUAAUGGAGGGAAUGAAGGUGAUAUGAAGUUAAUGGAGGGAAUGAAGGUGAUAUGAAGUUAAUGAAGGGAAUGAAGGUGAUAUGAAGUUAAUGAAGGGAAUGAAGGUGAUAUGAAGUUAAUGAAGGGAAUGAAGGUGAUAUGAAGUUAAUGAAGGGAAUGAAGGUGAUAUGAAGUUAAUGAAGGGAAUGAAGGUGAUAUGAAGUUAAUGAAGGGAAUGAAGGUGAUAUGAAGUUAAUGAAGGGAAUGAAGGUGAUACGAAAUUAAGGAAGGGAAUAAAUGUGUAACGAAACGAAAUUUAUGUAGGCAAUGAGGGAGUUAAGGAAUCUAUGCGCCGGCCAGUUCCAGGGGAGGGAGGUGGGGUGGGGUGGGUGGGAGAGGCAGGGAAUGAGUAUUGUAAGAUAAGAAAAUAAUAUCACUGCAAUGUAUUUACCGCAAGUAUUAUGUUAGUAGUAAAGAGAACAAAGGUGCUGUAAUGGACCGCACUCUCAGACACUUUCGGCUCUCACAAGAAACUGGGUGGCGGUGGUCGAGUGGUCAGAGUGCGGACCUGGUGAGCCCGGGGGCCUAGAUUCGAGUCCCACCGAUGCACGUUGACAUUUUUCAACCAUCGCCGAGUGGCGGAAUAAUACCCACAUGCUGCCCAGAUCUUCAAUCAACCCUUACUUCGGCGACCUCGGAUAAGAGGAGCACCGAGGGGCAGCUUGGGCCAAGAAAAUCAUACAUCACGGCAGCCACUUGAAAUAAAA
Long non-coding RNA from Eriocheir sinensis (Chinese mitten crab), 974 nucleotides. RefSeq lists it as uncharacterized. Lineage: Eukaryota; Metazoa; Arthropoda; Malacostraca; Decapoda; Varunidae. The transcript has 2 exons. The record is from RefSeq and is a predicted model, not a curated record.